Xylaria digitata is the source of this 100-nucleotide non-coding RNA. The record is from the annotation of a GenBank genome assembly. Lineage: Eukaryota; Fungi; Ascomycota; Sordariomycetes; Xylariales; Xylariaceae.
GCCCGCUUGGCUCACCGGUAGAGCGCCUCACUAGUAUACUUACCCUCUGAAGUAUCUCUAGGAAAUGAGGAGGCAACUGGUUCGACUCCAGUAGUGGGCA